This 71-nucleotide transfer RNA is filed under the name Camelus bactrianus (Bactrian camel). It matches the Rfam family "tRNA". From Rfam's summary of the family: Transfer RNA (tRNA) molecules are approximately 80 nucleotides in length. Their secondary structure includes four short double-helical elements and three loops (D, anti-codon, and T loops). Further hydrogen bonds mediate the characteristic L-shaped molecular structure. tRNAs have two regions of fundamental functional importance: the anti-codon, which is responsible for specific mRNA codon recognition, and the 3' end, to which the tRNAs corresponding amino acid is attached (by aminoacyl-tRNA synthetases). tRNAs cope with the degeneracy of the genetic code in two manners: having more than one tRNA (with a specific anti-codon) for a particular amino acid; and 'wobble' base-pairing, i.e. permitting non-standard base-pairing at the 3rd anti-codon position. The record is from Rfam by way of RNAcentral. RNAcentral also lists the same sequence under 2 other names. Lineage: Eukaryota; Metazoa; Chordata; Mammalia; Artiodactyla; Camelidae.
AAGGGUAUAGCUCAGGGCGAGAGUGUGUGCUAGCAUGCAUAAGAUCCUGGGUUCAAUUCCCAAUACCUCCA